GACGAACGCUGGCGGCGUGCUUAACACAUGCAAGUCGAACGGUAAGGCCCCUUCGGGGGUACACGAGUGGCGAACGGGUGAGUAACACGUGAGCAACCUGCCCUUGACUCUGGAAUAACAGUUGGAAACAGCUGCUAAUACUGGAUAUUUACUUGUCCCUUCCUGGGGGUGAGUGGAAAGCUCCGGCGGUCAGGGAUGGGCUCGCGGCCUAUCAGCUUGUUGGUGAGGUAAUGGCNCACCAAGGCUUCGACGGGUAGCCGGCCUGAGAGGGCGACCGGCCACACUGGGACUGAGAUACGGCCCAGACUCCUACGGGAGGCAGCAGUGGGGAAUAUUGCACAAUGGGCGCAAGCCUGAUGCAGCAACGCCGCGUGCGGGAUGACGGCC
This 387-nucleotide ribosomal RNA is filed under the name uncultured bacterium. RNAcentral describes it as "bacterial SSU rRNA". It matches the Rfam family "Bacterial small subunit ribosomal RNA", at positions 28 to 416 of the family's 1533-position model. The record is from RNAcentral.